This 253-nucleotide ribosomal RNA is filed under the name uncultured bacterium. Its description in RNAcentral is "partial 16S ribosomal RNA". It matches the Rfam family "Bacterial small subunit ribosomal RNA", at positions 524 to 776 of the family's 1533-position model. The record is from RNAcentral.
UACAGAGGGGGCAAGCGUUGUUCGGAAUUACUGGGCGUAAAGGGCGCGUAGGCGGCCUUCUAAGUCGAACGUGAAAUCCCCGGGCUCAACCCGGGAACUGCGUCCGAGACUGGAAGGCUCGAAUCCGGGAGAGGGAUGUGGAAUUCCAGGUGUAGCGGUGAAAUGCGUAGAUAUCUGGAGGAACACCGGUGGCGAAGGCGGCUCACUGGAUCGAAUCUGACGCUGAGGUGCGAAAGCUAGGGUAGCAAACGGG